Molecule: ribosomal RNA, 165 nt
Filed under: beta proteobacterium H1
Lineage: Bacteria; Pseudomonadati; Pseudomonadota; Betaproteobacteria
Description: partial 16S ribosomal RNA
Rfam family: Bacterial small subunit ribosomal RNA
Source: RNAcentral
GGAAUUUUGGACAAUGGGCGCAAGCCUGAUCCAGCCAUUCCGCGUGCAGGAUGAAGGCCUUCGGGUUGUAAACUGCUUUUGUACGGAACGAAAAGCCUUUUUCUAAUACAGGAAGGUCAUGACGGUACCGUAAGAAUAAGCACCGGCUAACUACGUGCCAGCAGC